GUGUGUUGGUGGAGGUCCCCUAGUGCAGCCAACCGGCCACCUGUCCCAGGAGAGGCUCACAGCGCGGGUCGCCACGUUACCACCUGGAAAUGAGAAUUUUAAGAGGUGAGUGCUGGGGUGGCGGUGACAAAAAACGAGGUAGAAGAGGGCUGCAAGUGCUGAAGAGCUAACUGACAAACUGUUUAAAGGGUUUCCCUGCUAAGGGAAGAUACCGGAAAGGAAAAGAGCCAAAUGGAAAACAAAGCACUAUUUGUAUUAAGCAUUACCUUGUCUACCACACGAUGGUAAAAAUUGCCUUGGAAAAUGUGGCUGAAGCUGAGGAUGUUCAGUGAGGCUUCCAGCUUCUUCCCCCGAGUCUGUCCACCCAGUCUUCUCAGGUGGAGAGGCUGGAAUGGAGGAUGGAGGAGGGAAGCCAGGCCUGACUCAAGGGCAUGAGCCCUGCCAGGUGGGAAACAUCCAGUAUCAUCUGAGAAGCUAGACCUGCUUAUGGAACCAACUAGUUGGAAGAAAGGAAGCAGAAGCGAAGAAGACAAACAUUGAUCCUGACCAUGAAAUGUGACCCUCUUAGAGCCUCACUGUCUAACAUGGGAGCCACUAGCCACAUGUAGCUACUGAACACUCGAAGACAUGGCAAGU
Molecule: long non-coding RNA, 636 nt
Organism: Eubalaena glacialis (North Atlantic right whale)
Lineage: Eukaryota; Metazoa; Chordata; Mammalia; Artiodactyla; Balaenidae
Exons: 3
Source: RefSeq, a predicted model, not a curated record